This 497-nucleotide ribosomal RNA is filed under the name uncultured bacterium. Its description in RNAcentral is "partial 16S ribosomal RNA". It matches the Rfam family "Bacterial small subunit ribosomal RNA", at positions 28 to 507 of the family's 1533-position model. The record is from RNAcentral.
GAUGAACGCUGGCGGCGUGCCUAAUACAUGCAAGUCGAGCGAACGGACGAGAAGCUUGCUUCUCUGAUGUUAGCGGCGGACGGGUGAGUAACACGUGGAUAACCUACCUAUAAGACUGGGAUAACUUCGGGAAACCGGAGCUAAUACCGGAUAAUAUUUUGAACCGCAUGGUUCAAAAGUGAAAGACGGUCUUGCUGUCACUUAUAGAUGGAUCCGCGCUGCAUUAGCUAGUUGGUAAGGUAACGGCUUACCAAGGCAACGAUGCAUAGCCGACCUGAGAGGGUGAUCGGCCACCCUGGAACUGAGACACGGUCCAGACUCCUACGGGAGGCAGCAGUAGGGAAUCUUCCGCAAUGGGCGAAAGCCUGACGGAGCAACGCCGCGUGAGUGAUGAAGGUCUUCGGAUCUUAAAACUCUGUUAUUAGGGAAGAACAUAUGUGUAAGUAACUGUGCACAUCUUGACGGUACCUAAUCAGAAAGCCACGGCUAACUACGUG